Xenia sp. Carnegie-2017 is the source of this 448-nucleotide long non-coding RNA. RefSeq lists it as uncharacterized. The record is from RefSeq and is a predicted model, not a curated record. The transcript is spliced from 2 exons. Lineage: Eukaryota; Metazoa; Cnidaria; Anthozoa; Malacalcyonacea; Xeniidae.
CAUGUUUGCAACUGCAUUUUGAUACUCGUUGAAUCUGUCAAAAGCGGCCAGGUCAAAAUCUUGAGGUUUAGGACCAAAAUAAUGAAGACGUACAUGUGAAUCAUGAGAAAGAAAUCAAAAUUGUUAGAACCCCUUUCUUUUGCUUCUAAAAUGUUAUCGUGUAACAAGACCAGUUGUAUAGUGGGAUGAGUUGAUUGUAAAUAUAUUUUUUUCAACAUGGUUCGUUGACAUUGAGUGUAAAAUGUAUUCUCGGACAGCGUCAAAGGAAUUGUCUUGGAGGCAAAAUGAUCAAAAAUAGGAUUUAGGGUCAUGAUAGAACGACCUUGCUUACAUACUUUAUUAAACGUCGAUUGCAAAGUUUUGUAAUAACUUUUCAUAUUUUUAAUAGCCUUGGGUAAUUUUUCUUGUGUCUUUGAUCUUUCUUUUAUCAUUAAAUCUUUGAACAACA